GCCCGAAGUUGCGGACAACUCUGAGGGCGUGGUCUGGAGCUCUGACAUCACAAACGGCACUGCCCUCUCCAUUGGUCCCCACGUUGUGACGUUUACAGCUACUGAUACUUCUGGAAAUACAGCCCAAUGUUCUUUCACUGUAACAGUUGAAGACUCUGAGCCUCCUGAACUGGACUGUCUGGACUCCUUCGCCAUCACCACAGCAGUGGGCCAACCUUACGGCGUUGCAUCUUGGGUGAUACCGACCGCGACCGACAACUCCGGCGAUGCGCCAGUGCAGACCGCCAACCUGACCAGCCCUGCAAACCUAGGCAUCGGCAUCCAUACAGUGACCUACGAUGCAACGGAUGGUAGCGACAAUACCGCCUCCUGUACAUUCCAGAUCACUGUUACAGAUGAAGAGGCUCCAGACUUGAGUUGUUUGACUUCAUUUUCUAUCGAAACCGUGUUUGGUCUCCCAUACGGAACGGCUACAUGGAUG
Molecule: long non-coding RNA, 481 nt
Organism: Patiria miniata (bat star)
Lineage: Eukaryota; Metazoa; Echinodermata; Asteroidea; Valvatida; Asterinidae
Exons: 3
Source: RefSeq, a predicted model, not a curated record